GCUGCAGCAGAAAGGGACAUGGUGAGACCUGGGUGUGCUUCUAGGGGUGUGUGUCCUGCCUAACCUGCACCUUCCUGGCAGCAGGGCUGCCCUUGGGACAGUACUCAGUGGUGUUUGUCACCUUCUGUGCUGAUUGGUGGCCUGGCGAGGCAUUGAGGGCUGCACUAAAUAGCUCUGGAGUAAGUGCAGAUGGAGUGGGACGUGAAAAGUACAACUUGUAACUGAAUUUCACAGGAACAGCAUUGGGCCCCUAAUCUUUAUUUGAAAAUGUGUACACCUGGGAAGCAUGCAGGAUGUCAGCUUUGUAUGGCCUAAUUAAAGUGUACUGUGGUGCAAGACUUGGCAAGGAACAAACAUUUGCAGGACGGUUGUACUUUGAGAAUACUUCAUACUCUGCCUGAAGAAACAGAAGUUUGCUUGCAUCACUUUGAUUUGCUGUGCUGAGCAGUUGAUUAUUAAGAUGCUAAUAAGCGAGAUUGAAUUGUAGCCUGACAGUUAAAGACAGUACUUCUAAUUUCAUAAAUGAGUUUAAAUGCUGAUGGAUUUUGUCCCAGUGAAUGAAAAUAUCCGUCUCUUAAAAGCUGAUAAUAAACAUUUUGUACCAUUCUGUUUAGUUUUGUGUAUGCAAAUUUCCUCUGUACAAUAAAAGUAAGAUACUUUCUGCUCAUUUAAGCAAAGAAUUAACUGACGAAUGUGGGUAUUAACACUGAAGCUGAAGGCAAGCCCUUCUAGUUACUUCAGUCCUGCUGUGAAAACAACCAAAGCUUUUUCUAAAAUACAGAGCAUCCAUUGUGUUACAAUGAGAGCAUGUGAGCAAAUUUAAUAUGGUUCCCACUUCUGUCUA
Long non-coding RNA from Cygnus olor (mute swan), 844 nucleotides. RefSeq lists it as uncharacterized. The transcript is spliced from 3 exons. The record is from RefSeq and is a predicted model, not a curated record. Lineage: Eukaryota; Metazoa; Chordata; Aves; Anseriformes; Anatidae.